UUAUUAAUCUCUUGGAGAGUCUCAUACAUAUAAGAGUACCUUUUGAGAAUAAGUGCCUUAUAGGUUAAGGACAUCAUUGCACAAAGAAGAUGCCUUUUAGGUUAAGGACAUCUGCACAAGGACGGACUGAAGGACCAGAGUAUACAAGAAAAUAUGGGAACUUUUGGUGGAAAUAUUACUUCAGAAUUUCAUUCUGAUAAAGUACUUGAAAAUGUUUCUUCAGCUGCUGAUGGUACGGUGGGUUCAUGGAUUUGUCCUUCUGAUUAAAUAUUUUGUAGUGUAAUCAAGAAUCACAAUUAGGAGACACAAUGAAUAUUUUGUUUUUGCCUAUGAAAUGCAU
Molecule: long non-coding RNA, 340 nt
Filed under: Olea europaea subsp. europaea
Lineage: Eukaryota; Viridiplantae; Streptophyta; Magnoliopsida; Lamiales; Oleaceae
Source: RNAcentral